Non-coding RNA from Pelobates cultripes (western spadefoot toad), 214 nucleotides. Lineage: Eukaryota; Metazoa; Chordata; Amphibia; Anura; Pelobatidae. The record is from the annotation of a GenBank genome assembly.
CAGAUGCCCAGAAUGGUAAAAUUGCAAUCUGAAUUUCUUAUGUUUGUCUUAAAGGUAUAUUAGUGGAGACAGGAGAACCUUUGAUGAUAUUUGUUCCAUUAAAGGAAAAUAAACCUGCUUCCAUGUCAUUUUUCCUGCCACCUGGAGUGAAUGUUCCUGAACCGUCAGACAACGUUUUCCUACAAACAUUUGCUGAAAUGUUGUUAUAUGUUAG